This 1354-nucleotide long non-coding RNA is filed under the name Olea europaea subsp. europaea. The record is from RNAcentral. Lineage: Eukaryota; Viridiplantae; Streptophyta; Magnoliopsida; Lamiales; Oleaceae.
CUCAUGUUAAUCACAAUUUUGUAGUUCAGGUCAUCUAGAACACCUAAGGAUAUCAAAUUUCUUUGUAGGUCAGGAACAUACCUGGUCUUAUCUAAGAUCAAUUCAUUAUUACCAUCCAACCUUAAGGUGAUUGUUCAUAUUCCUUUAACCUGACAAGACAUGUGAUUACCCAUUAACACUUGGCCUCCACUUACAUUUUCAAACUCACUAAACCAUUCUCUUUUAGGACACAUAUGAAAGGUGCAACCGGAGUCAAGGAUCCACUCCUGACUAGGUGGACUGUGUACAGCAACAUAAACCUCAUCUAUGUUGGUCUCAUUAUUAUAGGCUAAAGCAGCACCACCAUCAUUAUUAGACUUAUUUCUCAAAUCAUUAAGUCUCUUUUGACAAUAUUUGAUAAAAUGACCUUCACCUAGACAGUAAAAACACUUUUUACCCUUAGUCUUGAUUUUCAUUUUAUCUUUAAAGUUGACCUUCUUUUUGUGUCCGGGUUGCUUAUUGAAAUUGACAACUUUUGGAUUUGUGUUUGGUUUGGACUUAACCAUCAAAUUUUCACCACUAACAGAUUCCCUCUUGUCAGAUUUUAACUUUAACUCUUUAUUUCUCAAUGCAUUUAUUAUCACAUCAGUAGUUAGAGUCUCCCUUCCAUAUUCAAUAGCAUUUUUGACAUCUUUAUAUUUAUCACUUAGUGAAUUUAACAAAACCACAGCCAGCUAUUCUUUUGAGAGUUUCUCAUCACAGUCGGCUAGGUCACGGGAUAAUCUGUUGAAUCUAUCAAUGUUAGCAUCAAGAUCAAGAGAUGGGUCUAAUUUGAAACCAAAAAAUUGUUUUAGAAGAUACAUUUUAUUAGGCAUGGUUUUAUUCAAAUAAGUAUCUUCCAAUUUUUCCACAACUCAGCAGCAGUUUUUGUCUCACCAAUUUCUCUCAACACAUUGUCAGACAAAUGCAAGAAUAUAGAACUCCAUGCAAUUUCAUCAAGUUCAGUUUUCUUAAUUUCUUCCAUAUUAUUAGGCCAUGACUCAUCAAUGGCUUUAGCACAUUUUUGUUGAAGCAAAAGGGCUCGCAUUUUCUGGCGCCAGAGACUAAAGUCUCUUUUACCAUUAAAAAUCUCCAAUUCAACUUUAGUUGACAUUAUCAAAACUCAAUUUGAUAAAAAAAAAAUGCAGGCAGAUCACAUACAAAGUCAACAGUAUAUUCAACUUGCAGGAACUCAAAUGUCAUACACCAUAAUCAAAUUUAAAGUGCACAGUUAACAAGUGAGUUAUACAAUAUAGGUUAUGCAGUAAGAUCUCAUCAGUCCAUUCACCACAUGAAUAAGCAGUUUACACAAAAACCAGCAGUGUCAAGUCACAAG